Molecule: ribosomal RNA, 468 nt
Filed under: uncultured bacterium
Lineage: Bacteria
Description: partial 16S ribosomal RNA
Rfam family: Bacterial small subunit ribosomal RNA
Source: RNAcentral
GACGAACGCUGGCGGCGUGCUUAACACAUGCAAGUCGAACGGAAAGGCCCUGCUUUUGUGGGCUGCUCGAGUGGCGAACGGGUGAGUAACACGUGAGUAACCUGCCCUUGACUUUGGGAUAACUUCAGGAAACUGGGGCUAAUACCGGAUAGGAGCUCCUGCUGCAUGGUGGGCGUCGGAAAGUUUCGGCGGUUGGGGAUGGACUCGCGGCUUAUCAGCUUGUUGGUGGGGUAGUGGCUUACCAAGGCUUUGACGGGUAGCCGGCCUGAGAGGGUGACCGGCCACAGUGGGACUGAGAUACGGCCCAGACUCCUACGGGAGGCAGCAGUGGGGAAUAUUGCACAAUGGGCGGAAGCCUGAUGCAGCAACGCCGCGUGCGGGAUGACGGCCUUCGGGUUGUAAACCGCUUUCGGCUGUGACGAAGCGUGAGUGACGGUAAUGGGUAAAGAAGCACCGGCUAACUACGUG